Lentinula aciculospora is the source of this 100-nucleotide non-coding RNA. NCBI's taxonomy places the organism in Eukaryota, Fungi, Basidiomycota, Agaricomycetes, Agaricales, Omphalotaceae. The record is from the annotation of a GenBank genome assembly.
GGCCUGAUGGUCUAGUAGUAUGAUUCUCCCUUCGGGCGUUUGCUUGCAUCUUUGUGUGUUUAAUUGGGAGAGGUCCCGGGUUCAAUUCCCGGUCAGGCCC